Molecule: long non-coding RNA, 1015 nt
Organism: Dermacentor andersoni
Lineage: Eukaryota; Metazoa; Arthropoda; Arachnida; Ixodida; Ixodidae
Source: RefSeq, a predicted model, not a curated record
CGUCCGAGAAGUUGUCGGUGUGGUCUUCGGGCCGUGCGACCAGCGUAGGUGGCAACGUGGAGCGAAGAAAGGGCACAGCCCUGUCCCUCCCCGAAGAGAGGGCCGACCAUUGAUCAGAGCGGACACGUGGCUGUGCCCAGUUUCGCAUCGCCGCGGUCGCCACCACUGGUAUAACUGCAAUAAAAGCGGUUGCAGCGGCCCAACCGGACUUCCCCGAAUGUUGCCCUCCCGGACCGAGGGGUGGGCGACGGGGAGAAGGCUGAGCUGCGGUGGCUUAAGACCAGCCACGUAGCAUCCCCGAUCCACUCAUUGGAGCUCAGUCGUCCGGAGCAGCAGACAAGUGUGGAAAUUCCCCUGCCGUGUGAGAAGUGCCUUCAAACUUUAAGAUGAACGCAAAGCUGCUAGCAUUCGUUCUUGUCCUAGUCACCUGUGCCGUAUUGAUUGACAUGGCGGCAGCUUACGACGCCACAUUCUUUAACAUCGGUGUCGGCUGCCCUAAGUCGGCACUGUCUUGUGUCCAAGAAUGCCGAGAUCAACGUGGGCACCGAGGAGGCUAUUGCAACGGACCAUUCAACAUCGUAUGCACUUGCUACUGAGGCUUGGGACUGACUGGCUAUACUAUUGUGUGAGAGAAGUUCCUUAGAAGCGUGACCUUCUUCGACCAAAUUUGCUUUUCCCAUGUGUUUUACCUGAAUGACAGCUCGCUUGGCUUUGUCAUACGCACUUGUUCAUGCCAUAAUGCACUAAGAGAAGUAAAUCACUUCGAGCCAUGUUCCUCAAGUGAAACGGCUGCAACACUGGAGCAGUUGCAGCGCGUAUUCUAUUUGUAUUUCUGUAAGCAGCGAACAAAUUGAGCAGCUGUGGUUGUAUUAACUCUACCAACCCUUUCAGAAUGGGAAAGAACAUCGUAUACACAAGUCACAUCAUGAUUUCUCAUUUGAUUGUGUGAAUAUACUGCUAGUCAAAAGUUCAAAUCUUUUUUUUUUUUUGACAAUAAAGACGUUUCUUUGUCCAA